Apodemus sylvaticus (European woodmouse) is the source of this 833-nucleotide long non-coding RNA. RefSeq lists it as uncharacterized. NCBI's taxonomy places the organism in Eukaryota, Metazoa, Chordata, Mammalia, Rodentia, Muridae. The record is from RefSeq and is a predicted model, not a curated record. The transcript is spliced from 3 exons.
CGACCCAGGCAGCACGUCACCAGCUCUGUGCCUCGUCACUGCAGGCGCUGAGUGCCGCCGAGGAGGUGGUCUUGUUUCGUUCAUGUAAUACCUGCUCUUCACUCAACGUCAGAGGCCAGUCCGGGUUCUUUUGUGUCUGGGCAGUGUAGUGGGAGCACCUGACUGAUCCCUGCAGUUACUCUGUGGCUGAAGUAAACGAUGACACAGUGAGAAACACUCUGACCCAGCCCAGCCCGGCUCACAGUUCUAGCGCAUUCUGUCUCGCCUCUGAAACCAGGCAUCACUAACCAACUUCUCCCUGUGCCUGGCAUUUAUGACACACUGCCCUACAGUCUGAGUAGCCUGUUUAAUAGUCCAUAUCUUAUCUCCCCAACUGUGGAAUGUAGCACAUGUUGAUCAUAUCUUAGUAAUCACUUUUAUCCUCCCCAACAUUCAGCAUAAUAUCUGGACCACUGGCCUGUUUGGGUCAGCUCCCCACGUUUGAGAAUGGAGACCUCACCCUUUACCAAUCUGAUGGCAUCUUUCGGGCUUUGCAAGAAAGACCAAGGGAGGCCGCCCUGGUGGAUAGAGGGAAUAAUGGGGUGUGGAGGACCUCCCCUGCAAAUAUGUCCCCUCCUCUCCAGCACGGAUGAGAAUGAUCCACGGAGUCCUGGCCCCUGGCUGCCUGCACAGCUUCCCCCUGCUCUCUGCCUGUGCAGCCCAAGAUCAAGGCCUUUCUGUCCUCCCCCGACCAUGUGACCCAUCCCAUCAAUGGUGACGCAAACCAUAGUGGACGGAAGAGACUGGGGGGGAGGGGGGCUGCUUGUCCUCCUUUCCCCAUGACUAAUAAAGUU